RNAcentral lists this long non-coding RNA (407 nucleotides) under Glycine max (soybean). RNAcentral's name for it is "long non-coding RNA (GMAX_LNC000243)". The record is from RNAcentral. Lineage: Eukaryota; Viridiplantae; Streptophyta; Magnoliopsida; Fabales; Fabaceae.
AGCAGAGAAGAUGGAGACUCAUUUGGUUUUGUUGCUUGCUUUGAUCUUCACUGUAGUUGCCGGCGUUGGAGCCCAAGGCCCAUCCACCUCUCCCGCGCCUCCCACACCCCAGUCUUCACCACCUCCCAUCCAGUCUUCUCCGCCACCUGUUCCUUCCUCACCUCCUCCGGCUCAGUCUCCACCACCAGCUUCCACUCCCCCACCAGCCCCACUCAGCUCUCCUCCCCCUGCCUCCCCUCCUCCUUCAUCUCCACCACCCGCAUCUCCUCCCCCUGCCUCUCCUCCUCCGGCAUCUCCACCACCCGCAUCUCCUCCCCCUGCCUCCCCUCCUCCGGCAUCUCCUCCCCCAGCCACUCCUCCUCCUGCUUCUCCUCCUCCCUUUUCACCACCACCAGCAACUCCUCCAC